AUGGAGGCGAGGGUUGCAGCAGGGGUGCCCGCUGACGAGGAGUCCGGCCUCCUCCCCCGCGCGCGCCCGCCGCCGGCAGCAGCCGCCGGACGGAGGCCUUCCUCCUCCUCCGCGGCGGCCCCGCGCCGCGCGCCCCCGCCGGCGGUCUGGGCGACGGUGGACGGGCCCCUGGGGAUGCCGCUGGAGGACGCGGAGGGCCACGCGCGGCGCUUCUUCCUCUGGGGCUUCGCGUGCCUCCCCUUCCUCUGGGCCAUCAACUGCUGCUACUUCUGGCCCGUCCUCCGCGCCCCCGCCGCCUCCUCGCCCCCCGCCUUCGCCCCCAUCCGACCCUAUGUUGUGCGAUCCGCGGUCGGCUUCACCAUCUUCGCAGUGGUUCUCCUCACCUGGGCCACGACUUUCAUCGUGGGAGGCGAGCGACUGUUCGGCCCGGUGUGGAAGGAUCUCGUGAUGUACAACGUCGCGGAUAAGCUCGGUCUCACCGGAUUCAUGGGGUAG
Molecule: ribosomal RNA, 495 nt
Filed under: Triticum aestivum (bread wheat)
Lineage: Eukaryota; Viridiplantae; Streptophyta; Magnoliopsida; Poales; Poaceae
Description: partial small subunit ribosomal RNA
Source: RNAcentral